CAGUCGGUUAACGGCAUUUGGACACGCUGUACACAGGGGCGCUAGAUUGGCGCUACCGAAAGUCACGGCACGCGUCCCAUACGCGUACUACACAAAUAUUGUCGUCGUCAUCGUGUGUUGUGGUCGUAUUCACGAUAUAGUAUAGUUGCACGCGCAACAGGCGUUUCGAGUGCUGAAGCACCGACCGAGGAUUCGAAAGCGACGUGCAAAGGUUUGAUUGCACCAAAUUAGAUUGUCAAAACAAACAAAUCCAGUUAACAACAGCGACACGACCCGUUGUGGCGGCAUCGACCGCGGUCAGAGCACAGCCAUGGCAGCUGCAAUAGCCAUUUCCGGCAACUAUACGGAUGUCAACGACUCGGACAACGUUUACGAGCCCUACUCGAACCGACCGGAAACGUACAUCGUUCCCGUGGUGUUCGCCAUGAUAUUCGUCGUGGGCGUUCUGGGCAACGGCACACUGGUGUUGGUGUUCAUCAGGCACCGGAGCAUGCGCAACGUGCCCAACACGUACAUACUGAGUCUGGCGCUGGGUGACCUGUUGGUCAUCAUCACGUGCGUGCCGUUCACGUCCACCGUGUACACGGUCGAGUCGUGGCCGUACGGCGAGCUCAUAUGCAAGCUCAGCGAGGCCACCAAGGACGUGUCCAUCGGCGUGUCCGUGUUCACGCUGACCGCGCUCAGCGCCGAGAGGUACUGCGCCAUCGUGAACCCCAUCCGACGGCACGUGUCGUCAAAGCCGUUCACCCUGAUGACGGCCGUGGCCAUAUGGAUACUGGCCGUGGUUCUGGCCACGCCGUCGGCCACGUUCUCGCACCUGGCCACCGAGUCGAUACCCAACACGAACGUGACCAUCGAGUACUGUUACCCGUUCCCGAUAGAGCUGGGCAACGACUACGCACGGGCAAUGGUCAUGUUCAAGCUGCUCGCGUACUACGUGGUGCCGCUGUGCGUGAUCGGUUGCUUUUACCUGCUGAUGGCCCACCACCUGAUGGUGUCCACGCGCAACAUGCCCGGCGAGCUGCAGCACGCCGGCCAGUCGGGCCAGAUCCGGGCCCGGAAGAAGGUGGCCAAGAUGGUGCUGUCGUUCGUCGUCAUAUUCAUGGUCAGCUUCCUGCCGUACCACGUGUUCAUGGUGUGGUUCCACUUCAACUCGGACUCGCGCGACGAGUACGACGACUACUGGCACGCGUUCCGCAUCGUCGGCUUCUGCCUGAGCUUCAUCAACUCGUGCGUGAACCCCGUGGCGCUGUACUUCAUCAGCGGCGUGUUCCGCAAACACUUCAACCGGUACCUGUUCUGCUGUUGCCCGUUCGCCCGGUCCGGUCCGGCCACCGUCGAGUCCACCAUCCAGGACAUCAACCUGACGCACGUCAACAGCACGUCGUGCCGGCGUCACAACUCCGUGGUCACCAGCCACGCCACAGCGCUCGGUCACGCCACCUGACGGGCGGCCUGCGGCAGCAAGCCCGUCGUCGUCAACGGCAAACGCCCCGAAGACUGCAACGUCGUCUGACCGCGGCCGAGCCGAUCGAGCGCGUGACACGCGGGGAAUACGGGUAUUAUUCACGGGAACCUGCGGCGGGUGGCGAUAUCACAUCGAGUGAUGCGGUGACGUGCUCAGCUGAUUUUUUUGUUUUUUUUUUUUUUGUUUGUUGGUAUAAAGAGUACUCUUCGUAUUCUUUCGUUUUCCAGCUGCAGGUGCUAUAUAAUUAAUUACAAUAAUAAUCGUAUACACCGUAUAUUGAUCGUGUGCACAAGGGUAAUAAUAUUGUGUAUAAUAUUAAUAUAAUAUAUAAGUUAUUAUAAUAAUACAUUAAUACGCGCAUCUCGACGCGUGAUGGCGGCAAAUAUGCUUUCAUCAUUACUUUAUCACAUAAUUACCUAUAUAUUAUAAUAUGUGUUAUCGUCAUUAACCUAUAUUAUGUAAAUAUUAAAAAAAUCAAAAAUCAAAAAAAAUAUUCAAAACAUCAAAAGUCGAGUUUUUAUUUUGACAGUCAAGUAAUUAUACUGUUUUUUUCUGCGUGAUGUCGAUAAACAAAACAAAUCCAAAGCGUUACCCUCAUCCCCUCCACCCCCGUGAGCACGUCUCUGGAAUGACGAUAAUUCGCGAGUAUACUUAAUUUUUACGAGUAGUAUGUCAUAAUAUGUGGUGUAAAGCCUGACGACUGCUGACAACAGAUUUCUUCUCGUUCGAUAGUCGUGUCAAUCACCACGGUAACCGGUACACGAUGAUGUUGAGAUGUUGAAAACGAUGGUUCGAUUAGAAUUUGUGAAAAGUGUACAUCUUUUUAGUAUAUAAAAAUAUGUAUUUAUACGCCAAAGUAAAUGUCGUGAAAAAACUGCGCUCAGGUCAGUCAAUCACGGUACGUUAUUCUCACCAAACGCAUAUUUUGUGUGACCCCCCCCCCCCCCUUUGAAAAUGCAUCGUUUGUUUUAAUAAUAAUAUUAUGAUCUGUGAUACUAUCGUUAUUCGUUAGUAUACGACGACGACUAUGACAGCGAAACGCCUUCACCAUCACCGCUGUACAACGCAUAUUAUAUACAAAAACGAUUUAUUUUUCAAUGUUAGUUUUUCCUUUCUUUCUCCGCCACAACUUUCUUCCCGAACUCGAAGACACGAGUAAUGUUUGCACAUUACCGCUACUGCCCACACCUACUUCUUCGUAAAUUGUUCCACCGAAUCCAUUACCCUAUAGAUAUAAUACGCUUAUAUCUAUAAUAUAGAUAUAUUCGCAGUAGGUGUACCGACGGCUUUAAGAUAAAUUAUCUCGUUUUCGACAAGUUUCCAACUAGUCAUACUGCGCGUCAUUACUCGGGCGUAUAAAAUACGAUAUAAUAUUAUAUCAGUGAUAUCGGUAUAUAGGUAAGUAUUUCGAUUCAUGUUAAACGACAGAUUUUAUAUUAUAUUUUAUUAUAUUACAUUGGCUUAUAUUUUGUCCGGUUACGUGGCUUCAACUUCUUUCUUUGCACACGUCUCACUUAUAGCUUUGCCUCUACAAAUUGUAUUUCAUGAUAAAUUAUAUUAGGUUGACGCGAUCCCAAUCGGUUUCUUUCAAUACGAUCAAUGUUAUCUAACGUUUUUUCAAAAAAAUGUUUAAAUGAGUAGGUCACUAAAUUUCGAACUGAAUAUCGAUUUCCCAAUUACCGAUAUUAUAUUGAAAUACUUAUUGACAAUUUUUUACUUUGGAAUUUUAUUUAAACCACAUAGAUAAAUAAAAAUAUUAUGUCACUGAAUAUUGAACAAUCAAAAAUUAUACCACAAAAUAUAAAAGUAAGGAGUAAAAACGUAAGAAAUAUAAAAAUAUUUCUCGAAAUAAAAUUACGCUCUUCGUUAAUUAUAAGAAAAUACUUUUUGAAAUGUUAGAAUGUAGAUUAAUAAAAUUAUGUGUCAAUCAAUUCUAAAGAUUUUAAUUUAAUGUAACUAGCAAAGAUCCAUAGGUAAUAUCAUUACCCUCCUAAGAAUGUCUGCAAGUACUAUAGUGUAUUUUAUGCUGAAAUUUUCAUAUUAUGAGUAGUAGGUACUUAGGUACUAUAAUAGCAAAUUCAACAUUUAAUAAUUGAUAAAUAUUUUCAGUACUCAUCAUUUCUAACAAAAUGAUAAUUUUAUAAAUAAAAGUCAGGUAAUAAUUUACUUAUUUAAAAACUUGUAUUCAAGAAUUAAUUUUUGCAUUAUUU
RNA transcript from Aphis gossypii (cotton aphid), 3678 nucleotides. It is a transcript of the gene named neuropeptide CCHamide-1 receptor-like, with no coding region annotated. The record is from RefSeq and is a predicted model, not a curated record. The transcript is spliced from 5 exons. Lineage: Eukaryota; Metazoa; Arthropoda; Insecta; Hemiptera; Aphididae.